RNAcentral lists this ribosomal RNA (327 nucleotides) under uncultured eukaryote. RNAcentral's name for it is "partial 18S ribosomal RNA". It matches the Rfam family "Eukaryotic small subunit ribosomal RNA", at positions 1471 to 1796 of the family's 1831-position model. The record is from RNAcentral.
CCCUAGAUGUCCUGGGCCGCACGCGCGUUACACUGAUGCAUUCAACGAGCUUAUAGCCUUGGCCGAGAGGCCUGGGCAAUCUUGUUAACGUGCAUCGUGAUAGGGAUAGAUUAUUGAAAUUAUUAAUCUUGAACGAGGAAUUCCUAGUAAACGCAGAUCAUCAAUCUGCAUUGAUUACGUCCCUGCCCUUUGUACACACCGCCCGUCGCACCUACCGAUUGGAUGGUCCGGUGAAGCCUCGGGAUUGUGGUUCUUGCCGCUUUAUUGUGGCGUGACCGCGAGAACUUGUCUAAACCUUAUCAUCUAGAGGAAGGUGAAGUCGUANCA